RNAcentral lists this ribosomal RNA (616 nucleotides) under uncultured bacterium. RNAcentral's name for it is "bacterial SSU rRNA". It matches the Rfam family "Bacterial small subunit ribosomal RNA", at positions 169 to 803 of the family's 1533-position model. The record is from RNAcentral.
CCGCAUAAGCGCACAGCAUCGCAUGAUGCAGUGUGAAAAACUCCGGUGGUACAGGAUGGACCCGCGUCUGAUUAGCUAGUUGGUGAGGUAACGGCUUACCAAGGCAACGAUCAGUAGCCGACUUGAGAGAGUGAUCGGCCACAUUGGGACUGAGACACGGCCCAAACUCCUACGGGAGGCAGCAGUGGGGAAUAUUGCACAAUGGGGGAAACCCUGAUGCAGCGACGCCGCGUGAAGGAAGAAGUAUUUCGGUAUGUAAACUUCUAUCAGCAAGGAAGAAAAUGACGGUACUUGACUAAGAAGCCCCGGCUAAAUACGUGCCAGCAGCCGCGGUAAUACGUAUGGGGCAAGCGUUAUCCGGAUUUACUGGGUGUAAAGGGAGCGUAGGCGGUAAGACAAGUCAGAAGUGAAAGGCUGGGGCUCAACCCUGGGACUGCUUUUGAAACUGUCUAACUAGAGUGCAGGAGAGGUAAGUGGAAUUCCUAGUGUAGCGGUGAAAUGCGUAGAUAUUAGGAGGAACACCAGUGGCGAAGGCGGCUUACUGGACUGUAACUGACGCUGAGGCUCGAAAGCGUGGGGAGCAAACAGGAUUAGAUACCCUGGUAGUCCACGCCGU